AAAUAGACACGAUUUUCUGUGUACUUUUAUCGAUUUUCACGUUAUAAUUGAAUGCAGCUCGAUAGGGAUUCAACGCAACAUUUCUAUAUUGUUCAUUUCGAUUACAUCGAUUCUGUUCAACUUCAUUCCGUGCUUAGCGUUUCUCGUCAAUUUGACUUGCUGUUGUAUAUCUUUGACUCACAGCAUUGCAAGUUCUGCGACUUAAGUUUGUACGUCUAAUUGCUGGCAUUUUCAAAAACGAAAAUUCAACUGUAAAUUAAAGAAAACUAUUAUAUUCUUCUUUAUGACCAAGUAUAUCACUUAGUAACGUGUUAGUCCAU
Molecule: non-coding RNA, 320 nt
Organism: Cinara cedri
Lineage: Eukaryota; Metazoa; Arthropoda; Insecta; Hemiptera; Aphididae
Source: the annotation of a GenBank genome assembly